GACGAACGCUGGCGGCGUGCUUAACACAUGCAAGUCGAACGGAAAGGCCCUGCUUUUGUGGGGUGCUCGAGUGGCGAACGGGUGAGUAACAAGUGAGUAACCUGCCCUUGACUUUGGGAUAACUUCAGGAAACUGGGGCUAAUACCGGAUAGGAGCUCCUGCUGCAUGGUGGGGGUUGGAAAGUUUCGGCGGUUGGGGAUGGACUCGCGGCUUAUCAGCUUGUUGGUGGGGUAGUGGCUUACCAAGGCUUUGACGGGUAGCCGGCCUGAGAGGGUGACCGGCCACAUUGGGACUGAGCUACGGCCCAGACUCCUACGGGAGGCAGCAGUGGGGAAUAUUGCACAAUGGGCGGAAGCCUGAUGCAGCAACGCCGCGUGCGGGAUGACGGCCUUCGGGUUGUAAACCGCUUUCGCCUGUGACGAAGCGUGAGUGACGGUAAUGGGUAAAGAAGCACCGGCUAACUACGUG
RNAcentral lists this ribosomal RNA (468 nucleotides) under uncultured bacterium. RNAcentral describes it as "partial 16S ribosomal RNA". It matches the Rfam family "Bacterial small subunit ribosomal RNA", at positions 28 to 507 of the family's 1533-position model. The record is from RNAcentral.